GUGCUCGCUUCAGCAGCACAUAUACUAAAAUUGGAACAAUACAGAAAAGAUUAGCAUGGCCCCUGUACAAGGAUGACAUGCAAAUUCAUGAAGCAUUUCAUAUUAAA
RNAcentral lists this small nuclear RNA (107 nucleotides) under Colobus angolensis palliatus. Lineage: Eukaryota; Metazoa; Chordata; Mammalia; Primates; Cercopithecidae. The record is from RNAcentral.